This 466-nucleotide ribosomal RNA is filed under the name uncultured bacterium. RNAcentral describes it as "partial 16S ribosomal RNA". It matches the Rfam family "Bacterial small subunit ribosomal RNA", at positions 28 to 507 of the family's 1533-position model. The record is from RNAcentral.
GACGAACGCUGGCGGCGUGCUUAACACAUGCAAGUCGAACGGAAAGGCCCUGCUUGCCGGGUACUCGAGUGGCGAACGGGUGAGUAACACGUGGGUGAUCUGCCCUGCACUUCGGGAUAAGCUUGGGAAACUGGGUCUAAUACCGGAUAGGAACCAUCUUUAGUGUGGUGGUUGGAAAGUUUUUUCGGUGUAGGAUGAGCUCGCGGCCUAUCAGCUUGUUGGUGGGGUAAUGGCCUACCAAGGCGGCGACGGGUAGCCGGCCUGAGAGGGUGUACGGCCACAUUGGGACUGAGAUACGGCCCAGACUCCUACGGGAGGCAGCAGGGGGGAAUAUUGCACAAUGGGCGCAAGCCUGAGGCAGCGACGCCGCGUGGGGGAUGAAGGCCUUCGGGUUGUAAACUCCUUUCGCUAGGGACGAAGCUUUGUUGUGACGGUACCUAGAGAAGAAGCACCGGCUAACUACGUG